GGUAGCCGGCCUGAGAGGGUGUCCGGCCACACUGGGACUGAGAUACGGCCCAGACUCCUACGGGAGGCAGCAGUGGGGAAUAUUGCACAAUGGGCGCAAGCCUGAUGCAGCGACGCCGCGUGGGGGAUGACGGCCUUCGGGUUGUAAACCUCUUUCAAUAGGGACGAAGCGCAAGUGACGGUACCURYAGAAGAAGCACCGGCCAACUACGUGCCAGCAGCCGCGGUAAUACGUAGGGUGCGAGCGUUGUCCGGAAUUACUGGGCGUAAAGAGCUCGUAGGUGGUUUGUCGCGUUGUNCGUGAAAUUUCRCAACUCAAUUGYGAGCSUGCGGGCGAUACGGGCARACUGGAGUACUGCAGGGGAGACUGGAAUUCC
This 376-nucleotide ribosomal RNA is filed under the name uncultured bacterium. Its description in RNAcentral is "bacterial SSU rRNA". It matches the Rfam family "Bacterial small subunit ribosomal RNA", at positions 282 to 670 of the family's 1533-position model. The record is from RNAcentral.